This is a long non-coding RNA of Scaptodrosophila lebanonensis, 228 nucleotides long. RefSeq lists it as uncharacterized. The record is from RefSeq and is a predicted model, not a curated record. NCBI's taxonomy places the organism in Eukaryota, Metazoa, Arthropoda, Insecta, Diptera, Drosophilidae. The transcript is spliced from 2 exons.
CAUGAACCUAGUAUUACUGUUUCUAGCCAUUAUAGCUGUACUUCCGAAAGGCUACGAUUUUCAACCCGGUCCAACUGCAAAAAUUGUACCGUUUUGUUGCAAAUUUGGUUGCUCUAAUGCCAACUGCAAUAAGUGAUUGAAUUACGAUGAAGAAUUCUUUCGAAACAAAUGAUGUGCGUUUUAAUUUAUUUAAAUAAAAUUAUGUUAUUUGCCUAACAACAAUUGCAA